RNAcentral lists this long non-coding RNA (939 nucleotides) under Mytilus galloprovincialis (Mediterranean mussel). The record is from RNAcentral. Lineage: Eukaryota; Metazoa; Mollusca; Bivalvia; Mytilida; Mytilidae.
GUUUGAUACGAUAUUUAUCCACUCGAGACAGUUAAAUUUUCAAAUUUAAAACGCGAGGCUCGCCGAGCGUUUUAAAUAUUUAAAAUUUAAUUGUCGAGAGUGGAUAAAAAAGAGGACGAAAGAUACCAGAGGGACAGUCAAACUCAUAAAUAGAAAAGAACUGACAACGCCAUGGCUAAAAAUGAAAAGGACAAACAGACAAACAAUAGUACACACGACACAACAUAGAAAACUAAAGAAUAAACAACACGAACCCCACCAAAAACUAGGGUUGAUCUCAGGUGCUCCGGAAGGGUAAGCAGAUGUGGAACCCGUAGUCUUGCUAAUAAGAUAACAAAUCCGGUAAAUGGUCUAAUUCGGUAGGUCAUAUUUGUGAAAAGGAAGGGGAUUGUAGUUACGACGUAAGGAACAUAUCCGAUAUCAUUUGUGAAACGGUUAUUCCAUAACGAUCAACCAAUUCGUGAUGGCGUCCCUAAAAUGUACGAAGAGAUGAUUUCAACUUCACAAUUUAGAACUCUUGAUUUAAUAGAUAUCGUAUUACACGAGAUUUGGUGGUGGGAUCUGUUUCUCUAAUGAUUUUCAAAUAAGACGAAGGCAAAUUUAUUCCUUCUUUGCGACUGAUCUGCAAAAUGAUGUUCUUUCUAUGUGACGUCAUCAAGCAUGGUGGCUUUUUUUCAUGCCGUUACAAUUGGAAGUUCAGAGGAAAACAAGAAAAUUCGACGUCCUAAUCGGAUUUUAACCAAUAAAGAACUGAGAUCAAACGAACCACACGUUGAUUAAAUUUUUUAAUGCAAUGAGUGCAGAAAGGGAUAAAUUGACGAAGAAUUAGAGAAAUAUAUUUAUCAAUGAGGAAUAUUGAGCUCAAACGUGUCUGGAAAAAACAAUAAUAGUUCACUGGGUUGAAUAUACCAAUUAUUAAAUAACAUUAUAUGUUUAACG